Molecule: ribosomal RNA, 573 nt
Filed under: Clostridioides difficile
Lineage: Bacteria; Bacillati; Bacillota; Clostridia; Peptostreptococcales; Peptostreptococcaceae
Description: bacterial SSU rRNA
Rfam family: Bacterial small subunit ribosomal RNA
Source: RNAcentral
UAGUUGGUAAGGUAACGGCUUACCAAGGCGACGAUCAGUAGCCGACCUGAGAGGGUGAUCGGCCACAUUGGAACUGAGACACGGUCCAAACUCCUACGGGAGGCAGCAGUGGGGAAUAUUGCACAAUGGGCGAAAGCCUGAUGCAGCAACGCCGCGUGAGUGAUGAAGGCCUUCGGGUCGUAAAACUCUGUCCUCAAGGAAGAUAAUGACGGUACUUGAGGAGGAAGCCCCGGCUAACUACGUGCCAGCAGCCGCGGUAAUACGUAGGGGGCUAGCGUUAUCCGGAUUUACUGGGCGUAAAGGGUGCGUAGGCGGUCUUUCAAGUCAGGAGUGAAAGGCUACGGCUCAACCGUAGUAAGCUCUUGAAACUGGGAGACUUGAGUGCAGGAGAGGAGAGUGGAAUUCCUAGUGUAGCGGUGAAAUGCGUAGAUAUUAGGAGGAACACCAGUUGCGAAGGCGGCUCUCUGGACUGUAACUGACGCUGAGGCACGAAAGCGUGGGGAGCAAACAGGAUUAGAUACCCUGGUAGUCCACGCUGUAAACGAUGAGUACUAGGUGUCGGGGGUUACCCCC